CUCCCUACGGGGCGCAGCAGUGGGGAAUAUUGCACAAUGGGGGAAACCCUGAUGCAGCGACGCCGCGUGAGUGAAGAAGUAUUUCGGUAUGUAAAGCUCUAUCAGCAGGAACGAGACAAGACGGUACCUGACUAAGAAGCCCCGGCUAACUACGCGCCAGCAGCCGCGGUAAUACGUAGGGGGCAAGCGUUAUCCGGAAUCACUGGGUGUAAAGGGAGCGUAGACGGCUGUGCAAGCCUGAAGUGAAAGGCGGGGGCCCAACCCCUGGACUGCUUUGGGAACUGCCAGGCUGGAGUGCCGGAGAG
Molecule: ribosomal RNA, 305 nt
Filed under: uncultured bacterium
Lineage: Bacteria
Description: bacterial SSU rRNA
Rfam family: Bacterial small subunit ribosomal RNA
Source: RNAcentral